UUUGUUGUUGCCCUGACUGUGUCAUAGAAAAGAACAAUACCAAACCCCCUCUCCACACUCAUCGGGAUGAAAGAAAGGCAAAAGGAGGGGAGAAUAAAACGAGGGAGGGAGACGUGUUUCAGAGAAAGAGAGAGCAAGAGCAAAACUACAGGGGAAUGGAAAUGGUAAAAUAUUCAUGAGGGAGAGACACAGAGAGAGAGAGAGAGAGAGAGGGCAGAAAGGAAGGAGACAAAGAGUCGGACGUAGUGUACGUAUGUGUGUGAGCGGUUCCUCGAGGAUUCCCCCAAAACCUUCAGGGUCACGAGGAGGCAGGGCCCUGCUCUGUGUUGCAUCAGUCGGUGUUUUUCGUCAUGUCACAGGUCAAACGGGUGAGGAGGACUAAUGGGUUUCACUGCAGCAGCUCCAUGAAGACACAGUAUGUGCCAAAAAGCACGGUUGGCUGGAAAGCAACAGAAACUGCUGCAGGUUUGCACUUGUCCUCUGAGGUCCUACCGUCUGGAUAUUCAAUCUGACUGUGUGUGUGUCUUUGUGUGUGUUAUGCGCGUGAUGUGAUGAAUCAAAUCAAUAGAGCGAGUCAAACGUUCCUGUAUCUCUUGUUCUUCACAGCUCUGUUCUUGUUAAUCCUUUUAAUUAUUGGGAGCAGUGUGACUUUUGUCCCUACUUGUGUCAAAGUAUUUGUUAUUUUCAUGUGUGGAAACAGAGUAGAGGAGCUUAUGAAUGCUAAACUGCAUUACAGUUAAAAGCUGUUAAGAGAACAAACUGUUUAAAGACACAAAAUCCUGCAUACAAAGUCCUUGUGGUCGCGUUGCAUCUUCUGUGUUUAGGGGGAAACAGUAAAACAAGGUCGGAGGACGCUUUGACCGGAAACGUCUGGACCAACAGGCCGAAGAAAGGAACCGAAUCAUCCGUCCAAUGAUAUAUGGAGUUCAUCCAUCAAAUGUUUACACAUCACAUCCAAAAUACAGGACACAUUUUGGGUUAAACAGCUAAUCUGUUGAGCAAAGAAUCCUCUUCUGCUGAGCGGUGCGCCUGCAAGUGUGCAUGCGUGAGAGUGAACGUACGCGGGCCUGCGUGACAUGAAGAUGACAUGAAGUUCCACAGCACGCAUGAAUCCAGCCUUUUCUUUCUCGGAAAAGAGAGCACAAAGCACGGACGUGGACGAGGCAGACUGAGAGACUUAGAAGUGGAAGAGCUUGUUUGACGAUCUCCCACGCUUUCUUCAACAACAACCUCCUUCAGUCAAAAGUCACCUCACCGGUCCCGUCCCCAAACCUCCACCUCUCCACGAGGCGCCCAUGUGACUUGGAAAUAAGGCGCACAUUGUUGGCCGCCUGGUCUGAAGUCGCGAAGGUUGAGCAAUUAUCAGCAAGUGGAAAAAAAGGCAGGCUCAAGUGGAGUCUAGCUGCAGCAUGCGGGUCUGCCGUGCCCUCUGCGCUUGUUUUCACUGUCAUCAUUGGGAACGACGUGAUAGCAUCAAACCCCGGCCUCAGCGAAUUCACUGAAAAACAUCACAACAUCGUCUCUAUGGAGACAAUCAGAGGAGACUGUAAUUGAAAAAGCAAAAAAAAAAAACACAGCAGCAGCAAUUGCCAUACGACAAAGUCUGUGAAAUAAUGUCCGGGGGUCAGACUCAUCCGUCAUCCAGGCAGAGCUGAGAAGACGUGAAACAACAAUGCCAACAACGUCAUUUCACACCUCAACGUUUACACUGCCAGUUACGAACAUCCAACAGCAGGACAAUGAUCUUCAAACGCAUCACAACGCCGUCUCAUUAUUCAAGCUGCUCGUAAGUUUAACCGACAAGCUUCACCGUGACCUCCCGGACAUUCAAACCGACGCCAGCAGUCUAGUGGGACUCAAACCGACCCGUCAUACAGUUACGAGCCCCUUCGGCUCAGACGAGUGCUCACACGCUGGAAAAGUGGCACGGAUUUGCAUCUUAUUUCCAUCCCCGUGUGAUGCCUGCAGAGAGGUGGGAUGGCA
Long non-coding RNA from Gasterosteus aculeatus aculeatus (three-spined stickleback), 1983 nucleotides. NCBI's taxonomy places the organism in Eukaryota, Metazoa, Chordata, Actinopteri, Perciformes, Gasterosteidae. The record is from Ensembl.